This 439-nucleotide ribosomal RNA is filed under the name uncultured bacterium. RNAcentral describes it as "partial 16S ribosomal RNA". It matches the Rfam family "Bacterial small subunit ribosomal RNA", at positions 339 to 795 of the family's 1533-position model. The record is from RNAcentral.
CUACGGGACGCUCCAGUGGGGAAUAUUGCACAAUGGAGGAAACUCUGAUGCAGCAACGCCGCGUGGAGGAUGACACUUUUCGGAGCGUAAACUCCUUUUAUAUAGGAAGAAGAUGACGGUACUAUAUGAAUAAGCGCCGGCUAACUCCGUGCCAGCAGCCGCGGUAAUACGGAGGGCGCAAGCGUUAAUCGGAAUUACUGGGCGUAAAGAGCGUGUAGGCGGAUUAAAAAGUCAGAAGUGAAAUCCUAUAGCUUAACUAUAGAACUGCUUCUGAAACUCUUAAUCUAGAAUAUGGGAGAGGUAGAUGGAAUUUCUGGUGUAGGGGUAAAAUCCGUAGAGAUCAGAAGGAAUACCGAUUGCGAAGGCGAUCUACUAGAACAUUAUUGACGCUGAGACGCGAAAGCGUGGGGAGCAAACAGGAUUAGAUACCCUAGUAGUC